AUACGUAGGGGACAAGCGUUAUCCGGAUUUACUGGGUGUAAAGGGAGCGUAGGCGGCCAGCCAAGUCAGAAGUGAAAUCCCACGGCUCAACUGUGGGCGUGCUUUUGAAACUGGAGGGCUUGAGUACUGGAGGGGCAAGCGGAAUUCCUGGCGUAGCGGUGAAAUGCAUAGAUGUCAGGAAGAACACCGGAGGCGAAGGCGGCUUGCUGGACAGAGACUGACGCUGAGGCUCGAAGGCGUGGGGAGCAAACAGGAUUAGAUACCCUGGUAGUCCACGCGGUAAACGAUGAAUGCUAGGUAUUGGGCUCCAUAGGGGUUCGGUGCCGCAGUUAACGCAAUAAGCAUUCCACCUGGGGAGUACGUUCGCAAGAAUGAAACUCAAAGGAAUGGACGGGG
Molecule: ribosomal RNA, 396 nt
Filed under: uncultured bacterium
Lineage: Bacteria
Description: partial 16S ribosomal RNA
Rfam family: Bacterial small subunit ribosomal RNA
Source: RNAcentral